Molecule: unclassified non-coding RNA, 347 nt
Filed under: soil metagenome
Description: partial contains 5.8S ribosomal RNA, internal transcribed spacer 2, and large subunit ribosomal RNA
Rfam family: 5.8S ribosomal RNA (bases 1-121)
Source: RNAcentral
GAUGAAGAACGUAGCGAAUUGCGAUACGUAAUGUGAAUUGCAGAUUUUCAGUGAAUCAUCGAAUCUUUGAACGCAUAUUGCGCCCUUUGGUAUUCCGAGGGGCAUGCCUGUUCGAGCGUCAUUGCAAAAAUCUCAAGCCUAGGCUUGGUGUUGGGUCUGCGUCUUCUGCGGGCGAGCCCGAAAAUCAGCGGCGGUGUCUCACCUCGUCUUGGGAGUGCAGUAGGCAUCUACGCACCCCGCAGGUGUAGGUUUAUGGUCACUGGCCAAAACGCAUCAACAACAGCGAUAUUUGACCUCGAAUCAGGUAGGGAUACCCGCUGAACUUAAGCAUAUCAAUAAGCGGAGGA